UACGAAGGGUGCAAGCGUUACUCGGAAUUACUGGGCGUAAAGCGUGCGUAGGUGGUGAGUUAAGUCUGUCGUGAAAGCCCCGGGCUCAACCUGGGAAUGGCGAUGGAUACUGGCUCGCUGAGAGUGCGGUAGAGGAGAGUGGAAUUCCCGGUGUAGCAGUGAAAUGCGUAGAGAUCGGGAGGAACAUCAGUUGCGAAGGCGGCUCUCUGGACCAGCACUGACACUGGAGGCACGGAAAGCGUGGGGAGCAAACAGG
RNAcentral lists this ribosomal RNA (256 nucleotides) under uncultured bacterium. RNAcentral's name for it is "partial 16S ribosomal RNA". It matches the Rfam family "Bacterial small subunit ribosomal RNA", at positions 524 to 776 of the family's 1533-position model. The record is from RNAcentral.